GGCGGGGUCAGCUAAUAAAGCUUUCGGGCCCAUACCCCGAACAUGACGGUUAAAGUCCCUCCUCCGCCAAUGAACCCA
This 78-nucleotide transfer RNA is filed under the name Carassius auratus (goldfish). Its description in RNAcentral is "tRNA-Met". The stretch from base 1 to 69 matches the Rfam family "tRNA". From Rfam's summary of the family: Transfer RNA (tRNA) molecules are approximately 80 nucleotides in length. Their secondary structure includes four short double-helical elements and three loops (D, anti-codon, and T loops). Further hydrogen bonds mediate the characteristic L-shaped molecular structure. tRNAs have two regions of fundamental functional importance: the anti-codon, which is responsible for specific mRNA codon recognition, and the 3' end, to which the tRNAs corresponding amino acid is attached (by aminoacyl-tRNA synthetases). tRNAs cope with the degeneracy of the genetic code in two manners: having more than one tRNA (with a specific anti-codon) for a particular amino acid; and 'wobble' base-pairing, i.e. permitting non-standard base-pairing at the 3rd anti-codon position. Lineage: Eukaryota; Metazoa; Chordata; Actinopteri; Cypriniformes; Cyprinidae. The record is from RNAcentral.